This 520-nucleotide ribosomal RNA is filed under the name uncultured Glomus. Its description in RNAcentral is "SSU rRNA". It matches the Rfam family "Eukaryotic small subunit ribosomal RNA", at positions 569 to 1089 of the family's 1831-position model. The record is from RNAcentral. Lineage: Eukaryota; Fungi; Glomeromycota; Glomeromycetes; Glomerales; Glomeraceae.
AGCAGCCGCGGUAAUUCCAGCUCCAAUAGCGUAUAUUAAAGUUGUUGCAGUUAAAAAGCUCGUAGUUGAAUUUCGGGACCAAUCUGCCGGUCGUGCCUCCGGUACGCACUGGUUUUAUUGGUUUCUCCCUUCUGACGAACCAUGAUGUCAUUAAUUUGGUGUCAUGGGGAAUCAGGACUGUUACUUUGAAAAAAUUUAGAGUGUUUAUAGCAGGCUCACGCUUGAAUACAUUAGCAUGGAAUAAUGAAGUAGGACGUUUGAUUCUAUUUUGUUGGUUUCUAGGAUUGACGUAAUGAUUAAUAGGGAUAGUUGGGGGCAUUAGUAUUCAAUUGUCAGAGGUGAAAUUCUUGGAUUUAUUGAAGACUAACUACUGCGAAAGCAUUUGCCAAGGAUGUUUUCAUUAAUCAAGAACGAAAGUUAGGGGAUCGAAGACGAUCAGAUACCGUCGUAGUCUUAACCAUAAACUAUGCCGACUAGGGAUCGGAUGAUGCUAAUUUUUUAAUGACUCAUUUGGCGCCUU